RNAcentral lists this ribosomal RNA (442 nucleotides) under uncultured bacterium. RNAcentral's name for it is "bacterial SSU rRNA". It matches the Rfam family "Bacterial small subunit ribosomal RNA", at positions 354 to 796 of the family's 1533-position model. The record is from RNAcentral.
GUAGGGAAUAUUGCGCAAUGGGGGCAACCCUGACGCAGCAACUCCACGUGUGGGAUGAAGCAUUUCGGUGUGUAAACCACUGUCGAGAGGGAAUAAUUCGGCCUUUCGGGGCCGUUGAAUGUACCUUUAAAGGAAGCACCGGCAAACUUCGUGCCAGCAGCCGCGGUAAUACGAGGGGUGCAAGCGUUGUUCGGAAUCACUGGGCGUAAAGGGAGCGUAGGCGGGCCGCCAAGCGUUCUGUGCAAUCCCGGGGCCCAACCCCGGACCCGCAGAGCGAACUGGCGUCCUUGAGUGGUUCAGAGGCCGGCGGAAUUCCUGGUGUAGCGGUGGAAUGCGUAGAUAUCAGGAAGAACACCGAUGGCGAAGGCAGCCGGCUGGGGACCCACUGACGCUGAGGCUCGAAAGCGUGGGAAGCAAACAGGAUUAGAAACCCCAGUAGUCC